Molecule: ribosomal RNA, 165 nt
Filed under: uncultured bacterium
Lineage: Bacteria
Description: partial 16S rRNA
Rfam family: Bacterial small subunit ribosomal RNA
Source: RNAcentral
UAGGGAAUCUUCCACAAUGGGACGCAAGUCUGAUGGAGCAACGCCGCGUGAGUGAAGAAGGUCUUCGGAUCGUAAAACUCUGUUGUUAGAGAAGAACACGAGUGAGAGUAACUGUUCAUUCGAUGACGGUAUCUAACCAGCAAGUCACGGCUAACUACGUGCCAA